Long non-coding RNA from Gasterosteus aculeatus aculeatus (three-spined stickleback), 1790 nucleotides. NCBI's taxonomy places the organism in Eukaryota, Metazoa, Chordata, Actinopteri, Perciformes, Gasterosteidae. The record is from Ensembl.
UAGGAAUGAAUGCAUCAAUAAUUAUAAUCCAGUGAUAUAAUCACUAUUAUUCUGCAUGAAAAGUGCUUUUUAUUUUAGUUCUGUGAAGCUGCUACUUUGACACAUGAUUAAAAACAUGUUCUAUAAUCAAAACAAAAGCAAUGAAAACUCUCCAAAAGGUCUGUUUAGUGGCGGCUCUGGUGCUUUUGCUUAUGAAUAAUUAAACUGUAUUUAUUCAUAACGCAGCUUUAAAGAAUUCAAAUGAUCGUCAUAUAUUUUACAAGAAUCGAUGCAGUGUUUCACAUGUUUACGUUUUUUUUGUUCUUUUUAUUCUGUUUACUUGGUUUUAAGGUCAAGAACCAACUCGUGAACCACAUUUAAUUAAACUGAGUUUAUCAACAUGCUGUUUAUUACUUUUUGUCACUUAUCACUGUUAAUAACAUUUUGAACAGAUCUCAAGGCAGAAUCCUGCACUUUUUAUUGUAAAUACAUUGUUCAUAUAUUUCUGUGAGCUCUUUUUAAGUUGCUUGUUUUUCCCUCCACGUUAAAUCCCGUCCGAGUUCAUUUUCCAGCUGCAGUUUCCAUCCGGGGGGAAAUAUCGGCGUCCUCACCUGCUGAUGUCUUCAUGCGGGUGAUGUUACAGUCUCACAGCGACAGGAGCAGCAGAAGAAGAAAUAUGUUUACUGCACUUUAGCGGAGGUAGAAGAAGUUGAUCGAUUCUCGGGUGAGAAGUUAUCUCAGGAAAGAACCAACGAGAUUACCUUCAGAACACCUGCAAGGUGUGGAAGUAAACUGGAAAACCGUAGCUGAUCUGGGAUCAGUCCAUCAACCGGUUUCCUUCUGCUUCGGUUUCACAGCCGAAUACAGAGAACAAAAAGUCAAAAUAAGUUCAUUGAACUCAUAAUCACCAUAAAUGUGAUCUCCUCUGAAGCAGGAGACAACACCUGGUGAACCGCGGCGCCGGGGGAGAGCGCCGGGCUCUCCGGCAACGCCUGUGUGUCCUGGGGGAGGCCGAACAAGAGUCGACAAGGACACCCAACACUCAAGUGUCUUGUGGACGACUGGGUGUCAGUCUGAUAGUUGUGAACAUCUGGGAAUCUGCUGACGUCUAUAUGGAGACACCUGCUUAUCAAUUGGACACCUGGACUGGCUGGACAUCCCUCCACCUUUGGUAAUCCGGGGGAACGUAACGAGUCUUCCUUUCUCUCCCAGUCUUCAUCAUCAAGCACCAAGAGUUUGCAUCGUUACAAUCUUCCUCCUCGGCGGCGGCGAGCACUCCCACCGGGGCUUCUGGGUAGCCAUCGGCGAGGGGGGGUCAACGAGGCAAACGGAGCGGUGGUGGAGCAGUCCGGUUCGGUCGGGUCUGACCCGGAUCAAAGAGAGGGAAGCUGUUCCCUGAUGGUUCACCUGCUUUAACCGGUGUUGGUGUGAUCUGAACCAAAGAGAAGAAAAGGAGCCGCUUUAUUAUUCAGAAGCUAAAUUAAUGCGCUGUGAGAGCGGAGCUGCAGCGCUGCGAGCUGAGGGUCAAAUACAUGCAAAUAUUAGCAUGUUGGGAUGCUCUUUAAACACUCCACCGUGCACGUGUGUGUGUGUGUUACGUAACGGGUGUGUUUGGAUUUAAUUAGCUCCCUACUUACAGUCUGAUAUUGGCUAAUGAAGCAGCAGAGUGUCCGUCGGUGAUGAAUGGGAGGCGUCAUCUUAAAACAUGAUAAAUCGGACUCGGCCCCUCUGGACAUCAAAAAACACGAAGCCGCCGGAGUGUGGGAUCAUGGGUAAAUGAGACCUGCAUGUUCCCCUCAGCGGGAAGGCGG